CAGCAGCCGCGGUAAUACGAAGGUCCCAAGCGUUGUUCGGAUUCACUGGGUGUAAAGGGUGCGUAGGCGGGACAAUAAGUCAGUGGUGAAAUCUUACGGCUCAACCGUGAAACUGCCAUUGAUACUGUUGUUCUUGAGUUCGGGAGAGGUUGAUGGAAUUCCAGGUGUAGCGGUGAAAUGCGUAGAUAUCUGGAAGAACACCAGUGGCGAAGGCGGUCAACUGGCCCGAAACUGACGCUGAGGCACGAAAGCGUGGGGAGCGAACAGGAUUAGAUACCCUGGUAGUCCACGCCCUAAACGAUGAAUGCUUGGUGUUGGCCCGCAAGGGUCAGUGCCGGAGGUAACCUGGUAAGCAUUCCACCUGGGGAGUACGCUCGCAAGGGUGAAACUCAAAGGAAU
This 399-nucleotide ribosomal RNA is filed under the name uncultured bacterium. Its description in RNAcentral is "bacterial SSU rRNA". It matches the Rfam family "Bacterial small subunit ribosomal RNA", at positions 509 to 910 of the family's 1533-position model. The record is from RNAcentral.